UAAAAGAAUAAAACGCCUAAAGAACAGCAC
This 30-nucleotide small RNA is filed under the name Bombyx mori (domestic silkworm). Its description in RNAcentral is "ovarian small RNA-18046". Lineage: Eukaryota; Metazoa; Arthropoda; Insecta; Lepidoptera; Bombycidae. The record is from RNAcentral.